This is a long non-coding RNA of Hemicordylus capensis (graceful crag lizard), 3169 nucleotides long. RefSeq lists it as uncharacterized. The record is from RefSeq and is a predicted model, not a curated record. NCBI's taxonomy places the organism in Eukaryota, Metazoa, Chordata, Lepidosauria, Squamata, Cordylidae. The transcript is spliced from 6 exons.
UGCCGCCGAGAGGAGAGCGUUGCUGGGGCUGGCGCAGGCAGGCAGGAGGACCGGGCAGCACGAUGGGUCACGGACGGGGACAACACAACAAGGGCCGGCGGGUGGACAGACCUCGAGUCGGGGCCAUCAAGCGUGCACUGAACUCUCAGUCAAGUCUUCGUAUGAGGCAAAUCUCCCUAAUCCUGCUGGUGAUCUUCCUCUCAUAUCCUCUUCUCUCUGGGCUGCUGAUGGGGGAGCCUCCCUCUGUGCUUGCUAACAACCCUCCUGGACCCUUUGAUGUGGAACUCUCGGUGAAGAGAGGAAAGAGCCCACAGCCCCCAUCAGUUCAGAUCUUCCUGUUCCUCUUUUCAUCCAAGUUAACAUAAUAGUCACUUCUGGAGUGGGAGAGCAAAACCAACUGAAUUAAUAAAAUAACCACAACAGGACUGAAGACUGGCUCCACCCCACGGACCCAACAUAUAGACACAUACAUGCAGAGUGGGGGCUCUACAGCAACAACCUGCCUGAGUAGGGAAUGAUUCCGAUUCCUUACCUGAAAUAUGUCCUUCUCAUCCUCAAAGAUCUUUGAACAAUGAUUUGCGCAUCAGAUAUUUAAUCAUCAAACCAAGGAGUUGCAAGAUCAUUGCUUGAAAAGUGGAUACAGGAAGGACCCAAUUACAGAAGGAACAUAGUCGUUACAGAACUCUGUCUGUCCUGCUCCAAUGGCAGCAACAAGAGGGAACCACAAAGGCUUGAGUGUGGGACUGUGGGCUGUGUGGCAUAGUGGGGAAGGAUUACAAAUCAGCCUGGUUUGAAUCCUGCCUCUGCCGCUGCCAUGAACUGAGUAAGCCAUUCUCUCUCAUUCUCUGCCCCCUCUGCCCAGGGAUAAAACAGGAAUAAUCCCUCAAUAGAGGGAUAAAACUACUAACCUACCUUACAAGUGUGCUGUAAAGACUGCAACAAACUAACAUGCAGUUAUUUGAAUACUCUGAAACAUUGCUGUUGCUACUUUAUUUAUAUAUUGUGCUUUUAUUGUAUAGUAACUUUUUGGUUUGUGAGGUGCUUUGAGGUCCUUUGAAUGAAAAACAUCAUAUAAAUUGUAAUUAUCAUAAUCAAGCACUAUAUAAAAGUAUGGUAUUAGUGGUAUUAUUACAUGGUUCUGCUGAUCACUUAAAAUAUCAGUGCUUUCAUGGAGCAGUGAUCUCCCCAUAGCUUUAUACUGAAUUGACCCUUGCAUGGCCAUCAUCUGACAACUGCAUGGUGAUCACAGACAAGACAUUAUGAGAUGAGUCUUAAUAUUAACUCACAAUACAUUCCUCUGCAGGCAAGUGAGAAGCAGUAUGAAUCUAUAUUGAGACCAUGCACUGAUUUCACAUGUGUAUGUUCAUAAUAAUUCAGGUUGGAAUCCUUUGCACACUUACAUAGGGGUACACUGGGCCCAUAGCCAGGGGGUAUUCAGGGGUACAUCCCCCCAUAGGUUUCUUUCUCCUCUCCCAGCUGUAGUCCCCAUCCAGGAUGCUAUUUUCCUGUAUUUGAGCUGGCAUGGGGGAUGGGCAGAAACUUUUAAAUUGCCCGCUGGUGCCAGCCAAUGCAAAGCUUUGCCUGCAGGUCUGCAGCCAUUUGGAGGUUCUCCAGAGCUACCUGAUGAUCAUUUUCAGUGCCUUUGGGUUCCUAAGCCCCAUUGAACAAAGUGGGACUUGCAUCUGAGUAAGCAUGCAGUGUUGUGCUGUCAAGGACUUUGGAACAUAGGAAGCCACCAUAUACUGAGUCAGACCAUUGGUCCAUCUAGCUCAGUAUUGUCUACACAGAAUGGCAGCAGCUUCUCCAAGGCUGCAGGCAGGAACCUCUCUCAGCCCUAUCUUGGAGAUGCCAGGGAGGGAACUUGGAACCUAGACACUCUUCCCAGAGCAGCUCCAUCCCCUAAGGGGAAUAUCUUAUAGUGCUCACACAUCAAGUCUCCCAUUCAUAUGCAACCAGGGUGGACCCUGCUUAGCUAAGGGGUUAAGUCAUGCUUGCUACUACAAAACCAGCUCUCCUCUCUUCACUUCUCAAUGACUUAACAACUGCAUGUGUGAAAUGCCACGGGGGUGGGGGGGGUGGCGUUUAUAUUUUAGAUGAUAUGAAAGGUCAGUUUGUGGCCCAUGAUCUGUUUCACAUAUGUAAUCAUUUUGGUGCUGCAGUUGUUGAAUAAUAAACAAGCAUGUACAAAAUUAUCCCAGGGUAUUUUUUUCAAUGUCUUGCUUUGAAUGAUUGUCUACAUAAUGUUCCAUGUUAAUAUAUGUCUGUAAGGGAUUUGGAACUAUUUUUCUGGCAUAGACAAGACAGGAAAGCUACUGUCAGCAAGACGAAAGUUAUAUAGGAAGGUAAUAACCUAUAUUUGAGGAAACUGCAACCUUUCACUAGGGAGAAAGCUACCCAAUGUCCUCCUAAGAACUACUGCAAUGGGGAGAAAUAGCAAGAUGAUUUGAGUGUAAAAACAUACGAGCUCUUCCUGUACUAGAGGGGUUGUGGGCAAAGGGCAAUGAUUGUCAGAUGUAACAUGACUAGAAAGUCACCGCAGGCUCAGCUUCUGUCUAAAUCUCUAGGCCCUCUUUCCCCAAGGCUCACUAUAAAGGCAACUAUAAAUAAAUGGACAGAUUAACUCAAAUGAAAUUCUUUAAAAAUGUAUACACCACUUUGAAACAUCGAGAAGUUAUAGACAGUAGCUGGGGGACUAUGUAACCAGAAUGGGAGUAGUGAGCUAUUGAAGUAGGAGAAGAGGAUGGUGAUGCGCAAAGGGGCGAGGGUAGGGAGUGAGUGGUCAUUUGAGCAACAUACUACAUGAGUACAACAAUAUUCCUCAGCCCUAUUAUUACACCUAUCCCUAGGUCACAUGUUCAUUUAAAUUAUACCACCUUGUGGACACCUUUCCAUUAUCUCCACCAUUAUAACAAAUUAUGUUGGGAGGUUGUUUCUGAGUUUCUUUGAAUUCAUUUUUCAGGUUGCUUUAAUUUGUAUCAUACUUGAAACAUAACUGAUACUGUAUGCUUAAUUAAUUUAUUUUGUCUAUGCAACUUGCAAUGAUAUAAUCAAUAUUCAUGUAUAUGCUUGUCAAUCAUGACCCAUUGAAUGCUGUUGUAACAGGAAUUGACUUGCUUUUUUGUUCUAGUUUGAUUCAUUUUUUAAAGCUUAAUUCUUUUUUUUGACCUUA